GAUGAAGAACGUAGCGAAAUGCGAUAAGUAAUGUGAAUUGCAGAAUUCAGUGAAUCAUCGAGUCUUUGAACGCACAUUGCGCCCCCUGGUAUUCCGGGGGGCAUGCCUGUCCGAGCGUCAUUGCUGCCCUCAAGCACGGCUUGUGUGUUGGGCCCCCGUCCCCGGUUUCCCCCGGGGACGGGCCCGAAAGGCAGCGGCGGCACCGCGUCCGGUCCUCGAGCGUAUGGGGCUUUGUCACCCGCUCUGUAGGCCCGGCCGGCGCCAGCCGUCACCCAACUUUAUUUCUAAGGUUGACCUCGGAUCAGGUAGGGAUACCCGCUGAACUUAAGCAUAUCAAUAAGCGGAGGA
RNAcentral lists this unclassified non-coding RNA (348 nucleotides) under soil metagenome. RNAcentral describes it as "partial contains 5.8S ribosomal RNA, internal transcribed spacer 2, and large subunit ribosomal RNA". The stretch from base 1 to 120 matches the Rfam family "5.8S ribosomal RNA", at positions 35 to 154 of the family's 154-position model. The record is from RNAcentral.